RNAcentral lists this ribosomal RNA (253 nucleotides) under uncultured bacterium. Its description in RNAcentral is "partial 16S ribosomal RNA". It matches the Rfam family "Bacterial small subunit ribosomal RNA", at positions 524 to 776 of the family's 1533-position model. The record is from RNAcentral.
UACGAAGGGGGCUAGCGUUGUUCGGAAUUACUGGGCGUAAAGCGUGCGCAGGCGGCUUCUCAAGUCAGGGGUGAAAGCCCAGAGCUCAACUCUGGAAUUGCCUUUGAGACUGAGAAGCUUGAGUACGAGAGAGGUGAGUGGAAUUCCCAGUGUAGAGGUGAAAUUCGUAGAUAUCGAGAGGAACACCGGUGGCGAAGUCGGCCUUCUGGACAGCAACUGACGCUGAGACGCGAAAGCGUGGUGAGCAAACAGG